Molecule: long non-coding RNA, 940 nt
Filed under: Homo sapiens (human)
Lineage: Eukaryota; Metazoa; Chordata; Mammalia; Primates; Hominidae
Description: HSALNT0339873
Source: RNAcentral
UAUAUAGCUUCUACUCGGCUCUUUCUUCGGGGGAAGCCAGCUACAAAGUCAUGAGGGCACUCAAGUAGACAGUGGAAAAACUCAUGUGAAAAGGGACCAAGGCCUCCUGACAACAGUCAGCACCAACUUGCAGCCAUGAAUGGCAUGUGGAAUUUGAUUCAAAAUAAUCUAGAAGGAGCAAGUAGAGCAAGUACAAACAAAAGACUACUGUCUACGAGGUGAUAACUGUUCAAGCUGAGAUAUGGAUACAUAAUCGAAUGAAACCAGCCUCUUCCAGGCACAGGAGACUCCUAGACGUGCCGGUGGCGUUCGGCCGGUGUCUGAGCAACACACCGAUCCUGAUCUCGCAACGCAAAGACAGACCAAGCGCCGCAAAGAAGUUGUAGGGCUGCGAGAUGCUCCAGCUCUGCCCUCUGAGAAACGCACUUCAGCGUUAAACCCCAGGGUUCCUCUCAGGCGGAGCAGUGAGCAUGGAGAGCCGGGUCUGGGGCAGAGCCCUCACUAGACAAAUGGGGCUGGAUCUGUGGCUUUGUAGCUCAGAGCCAGGGUAAUAUUUCAAAAGCAAGCAAUAAGAGUCUUGGGCGAAUCAAGUGUUCCUCUGGCUGGUUGGAGAAGAGAUUUGAAGCUUCUUAUUGUGCUCUAAAUAGCCCUGCAAACGGUAAACUAGCAAGCACAGUAAACUAGCAAGAGCGUUAGCCUUCUUCUACCUUCCUUUGAGGGUCGUGUUCCUCGGUUAAUAUGUAGAUUUCACCAUUCCUGAGUGCCCGUAAUUCAGGGAAACGCAGUAAUUUGAUAACAAGAAAAGGUCAGCCUCCCUCGCUCGACCCUUAGCCCGGUUUUUAGAAUUCUUCCUCGGAGGCAGGGGCUCAACUCACACUCUCACGCAUACUGGCCACGGGAGAGAAGCGUGGGAGGCCCACUCUGCGCCCGCGGGAAAGGG